RNAcentral lists this ribosomal RNA (513 nucleotides) under uncultured bacterium. RNAcentral describes it as "partial 16S ribosomal RNA". It matches the Rfam family "Bacterial small subunit ribosomal RNA", at positions 28 to 523 of the family's 1533-position model. The record is from RNAcentral.
GAUGAACGCUGGCGGCGUGCCUAAUACAUGCAAGUCGAGCGAACAGAUAAGGAGCUUGCUCCUUUGACGUUAGCGGCGGACGGGUGAGUAACACGUGGAUAACCUACCUAUAAGACUGUGAUAACUUCGGGAAACCGGAGCUACUACCGGAUAACAUAUUGAACCGCAUGGUUCAAUAGUGAAAGGCGGCUUUGCGGUCACUUAUAGAUGGAUCCGCGCCGUAUUACCUAGUUGGUAAGGUAACGGCUGACCAAGGCAACGAUACGUAGCCGACCUGAGAGGGUGAUCGGCCACACUGGAGCUGAGACACGGUCCAGACUCCUACGGGAGGCAGCAGUAGGGAAUCUUCCGCAAUGGGCGAAAGCCUGACGGAGCAACGCCGCGUGAGUGAUGAAGGUCUUCGGAUCGUAAAACUCUGUUAUCAGGGAAGAACAAAUGUGUAAGUAACUGUGCACAUCUUGACGGUACCUGAUCAGAAAGCCACGGCUAACUACGUGCCAGCAGCCGCCGUAA